UAAUACAGAGGGUGCGAGCGUUAAUCGGAAUGACUGGGCGUAAAGGGCGAGUAGGCGGUUAUGUAGGUGUAGUGUGAAAGUUUAUGGCUUAACCAUAAAAGGUCACUGCAAACGGCAUGACUAGAGAGCAGUAGAGGGGAGUGGAAUUUCCGGAGGAGCGGUGAAAUGCGUAGAUCUCGGAAGGAACACCGGUGGCGAAGGCGACUUUCUGGACUGUAACUGACGCUGAGGAGCGAAAGCGUGGGUAGCGAACAGGAUUAGAUACCCUGGUAGUCCACGCAGUAAACGAUGAAUACUGGACGUUAGUGAUAUAAGGUCACUAGUGUCGAAGCAAACGCGCUAAGUAUUCCGCCUGGGGAGUACGGCCGCAAGGUUG
Molecule: ribosomal RNA, 376 nt
Filed under: uncultured bacterium
Lineage: Bacteria
Description: bacterial SSU rRNA
Rfam family: Bacterial small subunit ribosomal RNA
Source: RNAcentral